AGAAACCAACAGGGAUUGCCCUAGUAACGGCGAGUGAAGCGGCAACAGCUCAAAUUUGAAAUCUGGCUCUCUUUGGGGGUCCGAGUUGUAAUUUGCAGAGGAUGCUUUGGCAUUGGCGGCGGUCUAAGUUCCUUGGAACAGGACAUCACAGAGGGUGAGAAUCCCGUACGUGGUCGCCUGCCUUUGCCGUGUAAAGCUCCUUCGACGAGUCGAGUUGUUUGGGAAUGCAGCUCUAAAUGGGAGGUAAAUUUCUUCUAAAGCUAAAUACCGGCCAGAGACCGAUAGCGCACAAGUAGAGUGAUCGAAAGAUGAAAAGUACUUUGGAAAGAGAGUCAAAAAGCACGUGAAAUUGUUGAAAGGGAAGCGCUUGCAGCCAGACUUGCCCGCAGUUGCUCACCUAGGCUUUGGCCUGGGGCACUCUUCUGCGGGCAGGCCAGCAUCAGUUUGGGCGGUUGGAUAAAGGCCUCUGUCACGUAUCUUCCUUCGGGAUGACCUUAUAGGGGAGGCGUAAUGCAACCAGCCCGGACUGAGGUCCGCGCAUCUGCUAGGAUGCUGGCGUAAUGGCUGUAAGCGGCCCGUCUUGAAACACGGACCAAGGAGUCUAACAUCUAUGCGAGUGUUUGGGUGUCAAGCCCGGGCGCGCAAUGAAAGUGAACGGAGGUGGGAACCCUUUGGGUGCACCAUCGACCGAUCCUGAUGUCUUCGGAUGGAUUUGAGUAAGAGCAUAGCUGUUGGGACCCGAAAGAUGGUGAACUAUGCUUGAAUAGGGUGAAGCCAGAGGAAACUCUGGUGGAGGCUCGCAGCGGUUCUGACGUGCAAAUCGAUCGUCAAAUUUGGGCAUAGGGGCGAAAGACUAAUCGAACAUCU
Molecule: ribosomal RNA, 867 nt
Filed under: Paraconiothyrium brasiliense
Lineage: Eukaryota; Fungi; Ascomycota; Dothideomycetes; Pleosporales; Didymosphaeriaceae
Description: partial large subunit ribosomal RNA
Rfam family: Eukaryotic large subunit ribosomal RNA
Source: RNAcentral